Molecule: ribosomal RNA, 413 nt
Filed under: uncultured bacterium
Lineage: Bacteria
Description: bacterial SSU rRNA
Rfam family: Bacterial small subunit ribosomal RNA
Source: RNAcentral
AACGAACGCUGGCGGCAGGCCUAAAACAUGCAAGUCGAACGGGUGUAGCAAUACAUCAGUGGCGCACGGGUGAGUAACGCGUGGGAACGUGCCCUUCAGUACGGGACAACGUCGGGAAACUGACGCUAAUACCGUAUAAUAUCUCCGGAUCAAAGAUUUAUCGCUGAAGGAGCGGCCCGCGUCUGAUUAGCUAGUUGGUGGGGUAAUGGCCUACCAAGGCUACGAUCAGUAGCUGGUCUGAGAGGAUGAUCAGCCACACUGGGACUGAGACACGGCCCAGACUCCUACGGGAGGCAGCAGUUAGGGAUAUUGGACAAUGGGCGAAAGCCUGAUCCAGCCAUGCCGCGUGUGUGAUGAAGGCCCUAGGGUUGUAAAGCACUUUCGUUGGGGAUGAUAAUGACCGUACCCAAAGA